RNAcentral lists this transfer RNA (73 nucleotides) under Candidatus Zixiibacteriota bacterium. Its description in RNAcentral is "candidate division Zixibacteria bacterium tRNA-Ala". It matches the Rfam family "tRNA". From Rfam's summary of the family: Transfer RNA (tRNA) molecules are approximately 80 nucleotides in length. RNAcentral also lists the same sequence under 1 other name. The record is from RNAcentral. Lineage: Bacteria; Pseudomonadati; Candidatus Zixiibacteriota.
GGGGCCGUAGUUCAGUUGGGAGAACGUUUGACUGGCAGUCAAAAGGUCACCGGUUCGAGCCCGGUCGGCUCCA